Molecule: ribosomal RNA, 255 nt
Filed under: Tropicimonas sp. IMCC6043
Lineage: Bacteria; Pseudomonadati; Pseudomonadota; Alphaproteobacteria; Rhodobacterales; Roseobacteraceae
Description: Bacterial small subunit ribosomal RNA
Rfam family: Bacterial small subunit ribosomal RNA
Source: Rfam by way of RNAcentral
CCUUACCAACCCUUGACAUCUGGAUCGCGGUUUUCCGAGAGGAAUUCCUUCAGUUCGGCUGGAUCCAAGACAGGUGCUGCAUGGCUGUCGUCAGCUCGUGUCGUGAGAUGUUCGGUUAAGUCCGGCAACGAGCGCAACCCACGUCCUUAGUUGCCAGCAGUUCGGCUGGGCACUCUAAGGAAACUGCCGGUGAUAAGCCGGAGGAAGGUGUGGAUGACGUCAAGUCCUCAUGGCCCUUACGGGUUGGGCUACACA